AGAGUUUGAUCCUGGCUCAGGACGAACGCUAGCGGCGUGCCUAACACAUGCAAGUCGAGCGGGGCCAAAGUGGGAGUAAUCCUGUUUUGGUCUAGCGGCGAACGGGUGCGUAACACGUGAGCAACCUACCCCGGCGUCUGGGAUACCCCUUCGAAAGGAGGGUUAAUACCGGAUACCGUCGCGACGGCGCCUGCCGUUGCGAGCAAAGGAGCAAUUCGCGCUGGGAGGGGCUCGCGGCCUAUCAGCUAGUCGGUGGGGUAACGGCCUACCGAGGCGACGACGGGUAACCGGCCUGAGAGGGUGGCCGGUCACACUGGGACUGCGACACGGCCCAGACUCCUACGGGAGGCAGCAGUGGGGAAUCUUGCGCAAUGGGGGAAACCCUGACGCAGCGACGCCGCGUGGGCGAAGAAGGCCUUCGGGUUGUAAAGCCCUGUUGGUAGGAAAGAAAACUGACGGUACCUACUGAGGAAGCCCCGGCUAACUCCGUGCCAGCAGCCGCGGUAAGACGGAGGGGGCAAGCGUUGUCCGGAAUUACUGGGCGUAAAGGGCGCGUAGGCGGCUUUUUAAGUCGGUUGUGAAAGCCCCGGGCUCAACCCGGGGAGGCCAGCCGAUACUGGGGAGCUUGAGUGCAGGAGAGGGAAGUGGAAUUGCCGGUGUAGCGGUGGAAUGCGUAGAUAUCGGCAAGAACACCCGCGGCGAAGGCGGCUUCCUGGACUGCAACUGACGCUGAGGCGCGAAAGCUAGGGGAGCGAACAGGAUUAGAUACCCUGUAGUCCUAGCCCUAAACGAUGGUCACUAGGUGUCGGGGGUAUCGACCCCCCCGGUGCCGCAGCCAACGCAUUAAGUGACCCGCCUGGGGAGUACGGCCGCAAGGUUGAAACUCAAAGGAAUUGACGGGGGCCCGCACAAGCGGUGGAGCAUGUGGUUUAAUUCGACGCUACGCGAAGAACCUUACCAGGGCUUGACAUGUCCGGAACCCGGAUGAAAGUCUGGGGUGCCCACGCAAGUGGGAGCCGGAACACAGGUGGUGCAUGGCUGUCGUCAGCUCGUGCUGUGAGAUGUUGGGUUAAGUCCCGCAACGAGCGCAACCCUUGUCGCAUGUUGCCAGGCGUCGGGAAACCGGCGCGGCACUCUUGCGAGACUGCCCCGGUAACGGGGAGGAAGGCGGGGACGACGUCAAGUCAGCAUGCCCCUUACGUCCUGGGCUACACACAUGCUACAAUGGGCGGUACAGAGGGAUGCGAGACCGCGAGGUGGAGCCAAUCCCACAAAGCCGUCCUCAGUUGGAAUCGCAGUCUGCAACUCGACUGCGUGAACCUGGAAUCGCUAGUAACCGCAGGUCAGCAUCACUGCGGUGAAUACGUUCCCGGGCCUUGUACACACCGCCCGUCAAGCGAUGAGAGUCGGCUGCACCUGAAGUCGCUGGCCCAAUUCUUCGGAAAGGGAGGCGCCCAAGGUGCGGUCGGCGAUUGGCGCUAAGUCGUAACAAGGUA
RNAcentral lists this ribosomal RNA (1496 nucleotides) under metagenome. Its description in RNAcentral is "bacterial SSU rRNA". It matches the Rfam family "Bacterial small subunit ribosomal RNA". The record is from RNAcentral.